UAUUAAAAAUCUCAUCGAUUGUACUGUUGAAAACUGGAAUGAUUGAUGGAAUAAUCAAACAAUCACAUGUGAUGUGGCGCAUGUACCUCGUGCUUACGUAUAGUAACUAAUUUUUAACAGUAAAAAUGGAUAAAAAUUUUAAUU
Molecule: non-coding RNA, 144 nt
Organism: Gossypium hirsutum (cotton)
Lineage: Eukaryota; Viridiplantae; Streptophyta; Magnoliopsida; Malvales; Malvaceae
Source: Rfam